UUGAACGCUGGCGGCAUGCCUUACACAUGCAAGUCGAACGGCAGCACGGGAGCAAUCCUGGUGGCGAGUGGCGAACGGGUGAGUAAUAUAUCGGAACGUGCCCAGUCGUGGGGGAUAACACAUCGAAAGAUGUGCUAAUACCGCAUACGACCUGAGGGUGAAAGCGGGGGAUCGCAAGACCUCGCGCGAUUGGAGCGGCCGAUGUUCGAUUAGCUAGUUGGUGGGGUAAAGGCCUACCAAGGCGACGAUCCGUAGCUGGUCUGAGAGGAUGAUCAGCCACACUGGGACUGAGACACGGCCCAGACUCCUACGGGAGGCAGCAGUGGGGAAUUUUGGACAAUGGGCGCAAGCCUGAUCCAGCCAUGCCGCGUGAGUGAAGAAGGCCUUCGGGUUGUAAAGCUCUUUCAGACGGAAAGAAAUCGGGCGCGUGAAUAGCGUGCCUGGAUGACGGUACUGUCAGAAGAAGCACCGGCUAACUACGU
RNAcentral lists this ribosomal RNA (482 nucleotides) under uncultured bacterium. RNAcentral's name for it is "bacterial SSU rRNA". It matches the Rfam family "Bacterial small subunit ribosomal RNA", at positions 29 to 506 of the family's 1533-position model. The record is from RNAcentral.